AUGGCUAGCCCUGGUGUUGUUUUGAGCCUGGUGUAUUUGCUGUUUCUUCUCCCCUCACUAAACGCAGCCAACUCUCAGAAAAAGACAUACAAUGAUAACAACUCUGGACUUUCCAACACCCAGUCCAAAUGUCACAACGUCUAUACUUCCAACAAUUUUUACGUAGGACCGAACAAGAAGAUCGAAACACUGCUUCUUGAAACAUUAACGAAUCUUUAUUUUGCAUUUUUAGUGUACACGAAUUGUCUUGAAGUCUACAAGGCUGGUAAACGAAUAAGCGGUGUUUAUACCAUCAACCCUGAUAAUACUGGUGCCUUUGAUGUGUUUUGUGACCAAACAACAGCCGGUGGGGGGUGGACAGUGUUCCAGAAGAGACUGGAUGGCUCGGUUGAUUUCUACCGCGGUUGGGAUGACUACAAACGAGGCUUCGGAAAUCUGAACGGUGAAUUUUGGCUCGGACUGGACAAGAUUCAUCGCCUGACAAAACAACGAAGCAGGCUUCGAGUGGAUCUUGAAGACACGACUGGAAAAACAGCUUACGCCGAGUACGACUUCUUUGAUGUGGCCAGUGAGAAUAGUAAAUACAAACUGAGUCUUGGAACAUACUCUGGAACUGCCGGUGACUCUCUUUCCUGUCAUCGUGGUUUAGCGUUCUCCACCAAAGAUCGUGACAAUGACAAGGAUUCUGGCAGCUGUGCUACGAUUCGUAAGGGCGCCUGGUGGUUCAAAAGCUGUCUCCACUCCGACCUGAAUGGUAAAUAUCUCAACGGCCAACAUUCUUCUACUUGGAAUGGUGUGGUCUGGUAUCACUGGAAAGGAAAAAACUACUCCGCUAAACGAGCUGAGAUGAAAAUCAAACCAGUUUUAAACUAGAACCAAGUGUACUUGUGCGGCUUUUAAAUGGCAUAAGUAACUUGAUUCUUGAAUUAAGUGAGCUUUCUAUAGCCUAAGUGCUCUUGUGCCACUCUACCACUGCGUGAUUUGAUUAUCAGAUCUAAAACGAUUUCUCAGUAGGUGAUGGGUUUAUAUUACUUGUGUCCAUGAACAACUCGCUUCAUUGUAUGA
Molecule: non-coding RNA, 1065 nt
Organism: Orbicella faveolata
Lineage: Eukaryota; Metazoa; Cnidaria; Anthozoa; Scleractinia; Merulinidae
Source: RefSeq, a predicted model, not a curated record